RNAcentral lists this ribosomal RNA (253 nucleotides) under uncultured Pasteuria sp. RNAcentral describes it as "partial 16S ribosomal RNA". It matches the Rfam family "Bacterial small subunit ribosomal RNA", at positions 524 to 776 of the family's 1533-position model. Lineage: Bacteria; Bacillati; Bacillota; Bacilli; Caryophanales; Pasteuriaceae. The record is from RNAcentral.
UACGAGAGGCCCAAACGUUAUUCGGAAUCACUGGGCUUAAAGAGUUCGUAGGCGGUCUGGAAAGUUGGGUGUGAAAUCCCUCGGCCUAACCGAGGAACUGCGCUCAAAACUACCAGACUUGAGGAAGAUAGAGGUAAGCGGAACUGAUGGUGGAGCGGUGAAAUGCGUUGAUAUCAUCAGGAACACCGGAGGCGAAGGCGGCUUACUGGGUCUUUUCUGACGCUGAGGAACGAAAGCUAGGGGAGCGAACGGG